AUAAUCACAACUGCGCAUUCUCAUUUGCAUUCAAGUGCAGAUAGUGGACAUAGCAAAGGAUGUCGCAGGCCCUGAUGAUGUGAGAGAGACAUGACUUACGAGGCAAGAUCAACAUAAUAAAAGUAUUUAUUGCGAUAAAGCAACUGUUAAGCUCCAUAAGUGUUUCAGUCUAGCGGCAAAAAAUCUCUAAAAUUGGAAUAAACGAUUUAUAUUAACUGCCAACGGCGCCUUCCUUCCCCGACAUCACAACACAAGUCACGUACGCUACCUAAUGGGGUGAAGAAGGCGGUUAUGAUAAUGAAUUAUUUCCGUUUAACUGGGUUACUUAUAAACGCGAGAACGACUUGAGCUUUAUCUUCGUACCUUGAAGCAGCGACUGUAUCAUCAUUCUGCUAACGAUCAUCGCCUUCGGAAAAAUACAUCCUAAUUGAGGAUGAAUAACACGGUUUGUUGUUGCCUGGUUAUAUUGAUCUUUGUACAUUCUCUGACAUUGCUAGAAGUGGAAAGCACGAGAUGCACACAUUAUUUGUGCCCACCUCCUCCAAAACCAGACGAACGUGCUGAUGUAACCGAAGAUGAAAUACAACCAAAUGAAUUUGACAUUUCUCAGCUCCCGGAAGAACAAAUGUCAUUUUUGGCCUAAAUUAUCCAGAUUGAUUUCAAUCAUAACAUGAACAAUUUUGUUUACUAUCGAUUAAAUAAAACUAACUCGAUAUCAUG
This is a non-coding RNA of Styela clava, 720 nucleotides long. The record is from RefSeq and is a predicted model, not a curated record. Lineage: Eukaryota; Metazoa; Chordata; Ascidiacea; Stolidobranchia; Styelidae.